UGCUGUAGCUUUAAAUUUGGUUUCCUUCGUGUUUAAAAAAAUGUGAAAAAUCAGAAAAAAAAAUCAAAAAAUAUUUAAAAAAAAUGCUUGUAUUGGGAAAGAAAGUUGAAAACAGUUUAAAGAGCAGGAUGUUUAGGAGGGAGGAUUAGAAAAUGGUUCACUUAAAGGCUGUAUCGGUGGAAAUAAGAAGUUGUUUUGUUUUAAUUAAUUUUGACAUUUAAACUUCGGUGUUUCCUGUUAGCAGUUCAGGAGAGUUUUUGUGCUUUUUAUUUAAACUUUCCACUGUUUAAUGAGCUCCUUUUAAACCAGUUCCCAGCCUGGUACUGGUCAGCUGAGACUGGUUUGGUGUUUCCUCUCUGUAAGUGACCUCAGGCCUGCUGUGGGGGAUGCAGACCAACUGGCUGCCUCCUUAAAAGGAGCAGCACAUGGAGCCCCCGCAGGGUGGCCCCCCCCCGCAGCAGCCCUGUAAUGGGAUCCUAUGUGACGCGGUGCUGUGUCCGACUCCUAAACCACAGGCUGAGAACCCCCAUCUUUACCUUCACGUGUCACUUCCUGUCUUGCCAGGUGUGUUUUGGGAAGAACACGGCGUUUGAAACCCUUUUUUUGUGGUCGUGAGAGGACGGGACAGGACGUCUCCUCMGACUUGGAUGAAUGCGGAGGCUAAAAGCGGCCUCCCUGCUGCCCCCGCUCCCCCUCACACCACUUCUGUGAAAGCUAUAAUUAGCUGUUARCGUUGAAGCAGAGAGCUGUGACUCCUCGAGCCCGUCCCUGUCCCUGACGGCGCAGAGGAUCUGUUCUGAAAUGACGUCUGUAAGCAGCCACUGCCGGCUGCGGGGGGGAUGAUGACCUUAUGUGGCUUCCAGCAGGGUCAGCCCUGCCUCUUGCGUCUGCAGAGCUCAGGAUGUGUUGCGUUUAGACCCAGCUGUGUUUUGUGUUAAAUGAGGUGCUGCACAUAUGCUCAACCAAAGACUUUCUGACGUGUUUAUUGGAGAGUUCAUCUUUUUUCAAAUAUGUUUUUUACUGGUGAUCAGGAGGUUGAAGUAACUUCUCUUCUGAGCGUCUCUGGGCAGGGCAGGAUUGCCACGGCUGUUUUUUGUUAAGUAAAUUCAAACGUUUGUCUAGAACCUGAAUAAUCUUGAUGAAUUUAUUAUUUUUUUUGGUUUAAUUAGAGUUCCAAACUUUUCCCUAAAACCUGUCUGUUUUAGUCUUUAAUUUCAAACACCACGUUAGUUUUGUUUGCAGAGCAGAUGUUUUUUUUUUUUUAAAACACUCCAUUUAAUCAUGAACUUCUUUGUUUCUCUGACGGUUCAGCUCUGAUCCAGUAGUAACGGCUAAAGCAGAGACCUGGUGCAGAUUAAUGCACUUUAACCCACUCAGAURUAUUUCUGGACACAGUUUUUUUUCAUAAUUUCUGGCGUCAGCAGKUUUAAAACUUGACACCUUCCCUCCCGUGUAAUAAUUGUAGCGCUCUCUCGUUUUCAAAAAGCUGUGAAACGUCUGCCUUUAAGUGUCAGCGUGGACUCUCCCGUCCUGUUGGUCGUCUGGAAAUGACAGGUCUGAGCUCAGACUCGUGGCYCUGCUCGGUCCUGAAGAUGCAAAAAACAUAAAGGGUUUUUUUUUUGUAGUUGAUCAUGAACUUUCCCUCACCACGUGUUUACGGUUGUAGUUGCUUGUUUUUCUGUGUGACGGCUCAGAGUGCUGGUUCUCUGGUAAAGUUUGGGUGCAGCGGAGCCCCGAGGUAAAUCCCUUCGUUUGUUGGGUUCAUGUUUCUACACAUGGACUCUGUGGAGGACGUUAUGGAAGAAAACAAUAGUUUGGUUUCUUUCUGUCCUUCAGGUUUUUUCCUGCUGUAAACCCAUGUCUGCCCACUCUUUAUCAGACCAGUGUUUUUUAUUAAUCGGACACCWGUAGAUGUGUCUGUUUGAGCAGUGGGGCUACAGGAGAUAAUUCGUGGUUCUGCUUGUCUGAAGUCUUACAGCAUGAGAAUGUGAUGCAGUCGUACYGAAGCUCCUCUACAGUUUCUUUAUGGAAACUUGUGAAUUUUUUUAUUUGUAUUUUUUUGCAGCAGAUCUGAGUUUAGGUUAAUGCGUGGUGGCGUGUGCGUCUGCAUGUGUGUCUGAAGGGGACGGCUGUGGUGAUAAAAGUUUGAAAACGGAGGAAAAAAAAUGAAAUUUGUUGCACUUUUUUUUCUUUUUUYCCCCCCCUCAUUGGAAAUGCAAACAAGCUUAUUUUGUCAGCUUUGAUUGUGACGAUGACUUUGAUGGUUACAAAUAUAUUAUUUCAUUUCUCAGCACUUUAACCUCACUUGAGUUUUUCCUUUUGAAUGGAAAUGUACGUGUACACCAGGAAGUGUGUUUGAAGAGGAAAUAAAGAAGAAUAAAGACAUAAUUGCAGUGUCUGA
Molecule: long non-coding RNA, 2401 nt
Organism: Austrofundulus limnaeus
Lineage: Eukaryota; Metazoa; Chordata; Actinopteri; Cyprinodontiformes; Rivulidae
Exons: 2
Source: RefSeq, a predicted model, not a curated record